UACGUAGGUGGCAAGCGUUGUCCGGAAUUAUUGGGCGUAAAGCGCGCGCAGGCGGUCUCUUAAGUCUGAUGUGAAAGCCCACGGCUCAACCGUGGAGGGUCAUUGGAAACUGGGGGACUUGAGUACUGGAGAGGAGAGUGGAAUUCCAUGUGUAGCGGUGAAAUGCGUAGAUAUAUGGAGGAACACCAGUGGCGAAGGCGGCUCUCUGGCCAGUAACUGACGCUGAGGCGCGAAAGCGUGGGGAGCAAACAGG
This 253-nucleotide non-coding RNA is filed under the name Pseudalkalibacillus berkeleyi. Its description in RNAcentral is "partial 16S ribosomal RNA". It matches the Rfam family "Bacterial small subunit ribosomal RNA", at positions 524 to 776 of the family's 1533-position model. Lineage: Bacteria; Bacillati; Bacillota; Bacilli; Caryophanales; Fictibacillaceae. RNAcentral also lists the same sequence under 4 other names. The record is from RNAcentral.